RNAcentral lists this ribosomal RNA (279 nucleotides) under Escherichia coli. RNAcentral's name for it is "partial 23S ribosomal RNA". It matches the Rfam family "Bacterial large subunit ribosomal RNA", at positions 1125 to 1402 of the family's 2925-position model. The record is from RNAcentral. Lineage: Bacteria; Pseudomonadati; Pseudomonadota; Gammaproteobacteria; Enterobacterales; Enterobacteriaceae.
AAAGAAAGCGUAAUAGCUCACUGGUCGAGUCGGCCUGCGCGGAAGAUGUAACGGGGCUAAACCAUGCACCGAAGCUGCGGCAGCGACGCUGAUGCGUUGUUGGGUAGGGGAGCGUUCUGUAAGCCUGCGAAGGUGUGCUGUGAGGCAUGCUUGAGGUAUCAGAAGUGCGAAUGCUGACAUAAGUAACGAUAAAGCGGGUGAAAAGCCCGCUCGCCGGAAGACCAAGGGUUCCUGUCCAACGUUAAUCGGGGCAGGGUGAGUCGACCCCUAAGGCGAGGC